AUGGAAGACACCACCUUUCCCGCCGGGAUCACCGACAUGGAGGUUGGCAGAGUCGUCUUCGGCGCGUCCGCGACGCCCCCACACUCAUCAAAGAUCCUCUUCCUCGGUGGUGCCGGGGAGCGCAUCGGGCCACGCCAUGGCACGCUCAAGCUGGUGACGGUGAUCGGCGUCUAUCUGGAGCAGUCGGCCGUGCCGUUCCUAACCCUCAGGUGGCAGGGAAAGCCCGCGGAGGAGCUCGCCCGCUCGGCCGACUUCUUCCGCGACAUCGUCGCCGGCCCGUUCGACAAGUUCACGCAGGUCACGCUCGUCGACACCCUGACCGGCCAGGAGUACUCCGACAAGGUGACCGAGAACUGCGUCAACAUCUGGAAGUCCUCGGAGCACUAUUCGGUCGACGAAGGCCAUGGCUCCGCCGCGACAAGCGAGCUCAAGGGGAUCUUCUACCCGGCGUCGUUCCCCACCGGCUCGACCAUCUUCUUCACGCAUUCUGCCGACGGUGUAUUACAGGUAGCAUUUUCCGACGACACAAAGGUUCCGGAACAAGAGAGCGGCCGGGUUGAUAGCAGGGCCCUGUCUGAGGCGGUCCUCGAGUCCAUCAUCGGCGACAACGGCGUGUCUCCUUUGGCGAGGCGUAGCCUGGCUUUCCGCCUCUGUGGUCUCAUAAACCACAAGUGA
RNAcentral lists this ribosomal RNA (675 nucleotides) under Triticum aestivum (bread wheat). RNAcentral describes it as "partial small subunit ribosomal RNA". The record is from RNAcentral. Lineage: Eukaryota; Viridiplantae; Streptophyta; Magnoliopsida; Poales; Poaceae.